This 468-nucleotide ribosomal RNA is filed under the name uncultured bacterium. RNAcentral's name for it is "bacterial SSU rRNA". It matches the Rfam family "Bacterial small subunit ribosomal RNA", at positions 34 to 498 of the family's 1533-position model. The record is from RNAcentral.
CGCUGGCGGCAUGCUUUACACAUGCAAGUCGAACGGCAGCACGGGGGCAACCCUGGUGGCGAGUGGCGAACGGGUGAGUAAUAUAUCGGAACGUACCCAGGAGUGGGGGAAACGUAGCGAAAGUUACGCUAAUACCGCAUACGACCUACGGGUGAAAGUGGGGGACCGCAAGGCCUCAUGCUCAUGGAGCGGCCGAUAUCUGAUUAGCUAGUUGGUGGGGUAAAGGCUCACCAAGGCAACGAUCAGUAGCUGGUCUGAGAGGACGACCAGCCACACUGGAACUGAGACACGGUCCAGACUCCUACGGGAGGCAGCAGUGGGGAAUUUUGGACAAUGGGGGCAACCCUGAUCCAGCAAUGCCGCGUGAGUGAAGAAGGCCUUCGGGUUGUAAAGCUCUUUUGUCAGGGAAGAAACGACCCCUUCUAAUACAGGGGGUUAAUGACGGUACCUGAAGAAUAAGCACCGGCU